GCCAGGUGUGGUGGUGCAUGCCUGUAAUCCAAACUGCUCAGGAGGCUGAGGCAGGAGAAUCACUUGAGCCCAGGAGGUGGAGGUUGCUGUGAGCCAAGAUCAUGCCACACUGCACUCCAGCCUGGGCAACAAAGUGAGACUCUGUCUCAA
Unclassified non-coding RNA from Macaca fascicularis (crab-eating macaque), 150 nucleotides. It matches the Rfam family "Metazoan signal recognition particle RNA". From Rfam's summary of the family: The signal recognition particle (SRP) is a universally conserved ribonucleoprotein. The record is from Ensembl. NCBI's taxonomy places the organism in Eukaryota, Metazoa, Chordata, Mammalia, Primates, Cercopithecidae.